Molecule: ribosomal RNA, 187 nt
Filed under: uncultured Bacillus sp.
Lineage: Bacteria; Bacillati; Bacillota; Bacilli; Caryophanales; Bacillaceae
Also listed under: 1 other name
Description: partial 16S ribosomal RNA
Rfam family: Bacterial small subunit ribosomal RNA
Source: RNAcentral
AGGCAGCAGUAGGGAAUCUUCCGCAAUGGACGAAAGUCUGACGGAGCAACGCCGCGUGAGUGAUGAAGGCUUUCGGGUCGUAAAACUCUGUUGUUAGGGAAGAACAAGUGCUAGUUGAAUAAGCUGGCACCUUGACGGUACCUAACCAGAAAGCCACGGCUAACUACGUGCCAGCAGCCGCGGUAAU